GCUGUAGUUCAGUUGGUUAGAGCGUCAGAUUGUGGUUCUGAAUGUCGUGGGUUCGAGUCCCAC
Molecule: transfer RNA, 63 nt
Filed under: uncultured Bacteroides sp.
Lineage: Bacteria; Pseudomonadati; Bacteroidota; Bacteroidia; Bacteroidales; Bacteroidaceae
Rfam family: tRNA
About the family: Transfer RNA (tRNA) molecules are approximately 80 nucleotides in length. Their secondary structure includes four short double-helical elements and three loops (D, anti-codon, and T loops). Further hydrogen bonds mediate the characteristic L-shaped molecular structure. tRNAs have two regions of fundamental functional importance: the anti-codon, which is responsible for specific mRNA codon recognition, and the 3' end, to which the tRNAs corresponding amino acid is attached (by aminoacyl-tRNA synthetases). tRNAs cope with the degeneracy of the genetic code in two manners: having more than one tRNA (with a specific anti-codon) for a particular amino acid; and 'wobble' base-pairing, i.e. permitting non-standard base-pairing at the 3rd anti-codon position.
Source: RNAcentral